UGAUGGCAUUUCCAGCAUUUACCCCAGAUGGGCUGUGCAGCAUCAAUCAAAAGCUAUUCAGCGGAGAUGUGGCAGAUGACCUCCACCUCCUCAAGGAUUCUAAAGACGGUAAAACCCGCAAGAAGAGCGAGUUGGGAGACGAUGAAGUAAGCUGUGCUUAUCAGUUCCGCGACUUCAUUCGAUUGGUUUUGGGGGAAUGCUCACGAAAGAGGUCAUUCACAAGGCAUUGGAACAAAGAUGUUCUGGUCAUUCACAAGGCAUUCUGAGUAUGAUCUUAUAUUUGUCUGCUUAGGUAUGGAGAAUCAAGAAAAAAGAAACACAAGAAGGCCACGGAUAAGGAUGACAUGGACUUUCCCGGACAUGAGAAGGUCAAAUUUGGAGACAUUGUUGAAGCUCCCACCCAAAUUGGCCGUCAUCCCUAAGGCAUUGAAGAGCCCACAAAAUGCAUCCUGACAGCGGCUUCGUUUACAGGCCAUUAAGGCGUACAGAAAUUGCAGAGGAUGGGCAUCCCAGCCCGGCAGCCAACUGCCUUCAACACUAGGCUCUACAUUAUCAUUGUGGCCUUCUUUCAGGACCAUAUUUUGGCCAUAUGUUUUGGGUGAUUUAUGAUGGUAUUCUGUAUUUUUCCUAUAUGAUUUACUAUAGCAUUAGUUUUGAGAUAUCUAGUUGUUGUCAUAGGAUGUUUCAUUCCUUUUAUCAUAGGAGGAACCAUUCUUCUUUCCCUUAUUUUGUAGACAUAUAACCAAGUGCUUUAGUUAUACAUAACAGGAAAACUUGUUCUCAGUAUAUAGAAUUAAGAAUAGGUCCGGCUCAGCCGAAGUCAA
Eucalyptus grandis is the source of this 824-nucleotide RNA transcript. RefSeq lists it as uncharacterized. The record is from RefSeq and is a predicted model, not a curated record. NCBI's taxonomy places the organism in Eukaryota, Viridiplantae, Streptophyta, Magnoliopsida, Myrtales, Myrtaceae. The transcript has 4 exons.